GCCAGACUCCUACGGGAGGCAGCAGUGGGGAAUAUUGCACAAUGGGGGAAACCCUGAUGCAGCGACGCCGCGUGAGCGAUGAAGUAUUUCGGUAUGUAAAGCUCUCUCAGCAGGGAAGAAAAUGACGGUACCUGACUAAGAAGCCCCGGCUAACUACGUGCCAGCAGCCGCGGUAAUACGUAGGGGGCAAGCGUUAUCCGGAUUUACUGGGUGUAAAGGGAGCGUAGACGGUCCUGCAAGCCAGAUGUGAAAGGCCGGGGCUCAACCCCGGGACUGCAUUUGGAACUGUAAGGCUAGAGUGUCGGAGAGGCAGGCGGAAUUCCUAGUGUAGCGGUGAAAUGCGUAGAUAUUAGGAGGAACACCAGUGGCGAAGGCGGCCUGCUGGACGAUGACUGACGUUGAGGCUCGAAAGCGUGGGGAGCAAACAGGAUUAGAUACCCCGGUACUA
Molecule: ribosomal RNA, 448 nt
Filed under: uncultured bacterium
Lineage: Bacteria
Description: bacterial SSU rRNA
Rfam family: Bacterial small subunit ribosomal RNA
Source: RNAcentral